Molecule: ribosomal RNA, 948 nt
Filed under: Triticum aestivum (bread wheat)
Lineage: Eukaryota; Viridiplantae; Streptophyta; Magnoliopsida; Poales; Poaceae
Description: partial small subunit ribosomal RNA
Source: RNAcentral
AUGGCCGCUACAAACCCUUCCUACUACCAGAGUGGUGUUUGCCAAGACAUUAAGCAGAAAGAGCAUCUCUUUCACUUAUAUAUGAACCAGAUAUUUGAUGGUCCGGGUGUUACCAACGCCAACCAAGUCACUGUUGCCAAUCCAUCAGGUCAGCUUUUGGGGUUUGGUCACACCGUUGCAAACGACUGGACCAUACGUGAUGGUCCGGCUGCCGAUGCAAACCUUGUUGCACGUGCUCGUGGCAUGCACAUGGGUGCGGGCAAAGUCGACGAGAACUGGUUAUUCUGUCACAAUAUAUUGUUCACUGAUACCAGGUUUAAGGGGUCCAGCCUCAAGGUUCUUGGAGACUUUGUAGGAAACAAUAGUGAAUGGGCAAUUGUAGGUGGGAGUGGAGAGUUUGCAUAUGCCCAAGGUGUUGUGGUCGCCAAAGUAAUCCAAACUGUACCACCUACUCCCGGGCGUACUUGGGAGCUUCGUAUCAGUGCUUUCUGUCUCUGCAUCCCCAAAGUGACCCCAGUCACAAAGAUGGGACCUUGGGGUGGGGAUGGAGGGACAUCCUUUGACAUCACGGAGCUGCCUCGUUCUCUUCAAACUGUGACAAUUAGAUGUGGAGAUGUGAUUAAUUCAGUAAUGUUUUCCUAUACUGACCAAGCUGGUCAGAAGAAAACUGUCGGACCAUGGGGUGGUGAUGGUGCACUUACUGCGACGAUCACUCUUGCUCCUUCCGAGUUUAUAAAGCAAGUUCUUGGAACAACCGGUACAGUUGGAGGAGAGACAGUUGUUACAUCACUUACCUUGGUCAGCAGCGUUACAACAUAUGGGCCUUUUGGAAAAGCAAAUGGCACCCCUUUUAGCAGCCAGGUUCCAGAUGGUAACAACGUUGGGGGAUUCUAUGCACGUGCUGGGAGGUCUGUCAAUGCACUUGGCGUUUACGCGUGCCCAAUUUAG